CAAGAAAGCGCUUCUUAACAUACCACGUGAGGGUGAUUCAAAAGAUGAAAGCCUAUAAAAAUUAAUGGUCAGAGAAGAAUGUGGACUAGUAAAUCAACAACCGCAUUAUUAAAAACAGAGGAAAUAUAAUUGGCUACAUAUGGUGACACUAUAACAAGCCUUCUGCUGGCUGGAUUUAUCCUCAGCAUACCUAUAAUGGUCCCUGACACUUCAUGGCUCACUUCUUUCUGCCAGUAGUUCCAAGGGAAGAGGCAUCCAUGUAAAUCCUGGGAUUCAUUGGAAUCAAACCAGUUUGGGAGAUUUGUGUGUUCCUGCACCAAUCAUUCUUGGACCAGCACAAUUGGAAUUAUGGUGUAUGGAAAAGGGACAGAGAAGAAGUGGAGGAAAGGGCACUUAAUCACCUGUUACUUAUGAAAAGAAGAUUGUUGGAAGCUGCUGCAUGCUUCUUCCAUCUCAUUGGUUCAUGGCCACACUUAACCAACUACAAGGUACAGAAGCAUUGAGAGAGUGGGUAGGCUAAAUUUGAGCGUCUAUUAUCCAAUGAAUAUUUCUUUCCUAUUCUAUGAAAGGAAUAGAACAUGAGUAUUGUGA
Molecule: long non-coding RNA, 591 nt
Filed under: Vulpes vulpes (red fox)
Lineage: Eukaryota; Metazoa; Chordata; Mammalia; Carnivora; Canidae
Description: lncRNA (ENSVVUG00000000245.1)
Source: RNAcentral